Molecule: ribosomal RNA, 253 nt
Filed under: uncultured bacterium
Lineage: Bacteria
Description: partial 16S ribosomal RNA
Rfam family: Bacterial small subunit ribosomal RNA
Source: RNAcentral
UACGAAGGGGGCUAGCGUUGUUCGGAUUUACUGGGCGUAAAGCGCGUGUAGGCGGGCCGUUAAGUUGGGGGUGAAAGCCCGAGGCUCAACCUCGGAACUGCCUUCAAAACUGGCGGCCUGGAGCAAGAUAGAGGCGAGUGGAAUUCCGAGUGUAGAGGUGAAAUUCGUAGAUAUUCGGAGGAACACCAGUGGCGAAGGCGACUCGCUGGAUCUUUGCCGACGCUGAGACGCGAAAGCGUGGGGAGCAAACAGG